Molecule: long non-coding RNA, 1758 nt
Organism: Betta splendens (Siamese fighting fish)
Lineage: Eukaryota; Metazoa; Chordata; Actinopteri; Anabantiformes; Osphronemidae
Exons: 2
Source: RefSeq, a predicted model, not a curated record
AGGUGAAGUUCUUCCAAAGCAGUAAACCCAGUUGGGUGGAGACCGCCAUGUUGCUGCCUUCCCAACCUCACUGAGCACGCUCCAGCUCCUCACUGUGAAGCCAAAAAGCCAAUGAAUGAAUAUUAACAAAGCUGAGUCUCUGAAAUCCUGAUGUGACUGGUAACAUGACUGGAACACACCACCCACAAACUCCAGACAGAAGAGGAACUCCGCUUUUACAAAGUACUCAAAGAACAAUUACUGGUAACUUGCUAGAAUCCAAACCACCGCGUUACCAGGAGUUAGCAAGCUAAUUUUGUAAUCCUGUUUACACAGACAAACACUAGGUCAUCAAGGCCUAAAAUCAGGUCACUACACUGAGAGUCUUAACUCUGUAAUGAAGUUAAUCACGUCAACUCAGGAGGAACCACUGUAAGUCAAGUACAACUAAACACAAGCACAGCAAGGAAGAGAGGUUGUACAAUGGCAAAUCCAGUUUUAGCUGUAAAAAGAAUCACAGAACUCUAUUUCUAAAUAUUAGAUUAAUGUAAAUCUACUAUUGAUCGAUGAUUCUCUUCUUUUUCAUUGUGUUCCUCUUGUGAUUGGAAGCUGCACAAAUCGAAUGGUAAAUCAGCUUUUUUGGCUUUCAACGCCGCCCUUUCUCUCAGCUGACAUUUAAUUAUGCGUUCCCCGGCAGCCUCCAACUACCACAUGUGAGACUAAUUCAUAAGAUCACUCCCUUCUGUUAUUGUUUUUCGUCCUCUAAUAAUGGACAUAACAUUUGUCUUCCUAAUGAUGUUCCCACAUUUCCACACUGGCAGCUGGAGUGAGCGCCCAAGAUGUCGCAACAAAAACCAACAAGCGCUGCGGGAACAACAAACAGCACUAUCUUCUGUACUGGUACAUGCGUCUCUGUGGGUCACCUGAUUCAUUCGAAGCACACAUGAAUCUGCCUGACGCGAGUCCCAAAUUAAAACGUCCAGACGUUCACAACUCAAGCACAUAACGAGAUACUUUAUCAAACUCUCCCACCAACACAACAUCCAUGCAUAUCCUACAGUCAAUCAAUCGGCAAAUCAGAAAAACACAGCACCUUUAUACUUGGACUGCGGUGUUGCUGUAUGUGAAUGGACGACACUGUUGGAUUUACACAUUUGGCUUCUAUUGAAUGAAUGUCUCCCCUUUCAUUUGUCUGAUUGCCUGAUUUCUCGUGUCUUUAGUUUGUCGCCUUCAUACGAGUCAUCAUUAACAAACGUCCACCCUCAUCUUUUUUGUUUUCUGUAAUCAUCUGGUCUGCUGGAUGUUGUGCAGUCCAAAUGGUGCAGAGCACUGGUGCCUCUAGUGGUAAUCACAAAAACGCUCAUUUUUCCUACUUGUUUACCAUCAGUUCUCGCUCACGUGUUAUAUCACACUGAAGGCUUUUCCCAGACCCAUUGUCUCCGUCGCGUUUUUAACACGUUUAAAAAUUCAACAAAAACUGGAAAAUACUUCUUGAAUGAAAUACUGAUAAUUGUCUUCUCCUACAUGAUCAAAGAGCGUCGAAGAUUUUGCAGGGAAAAAAAAAACGUUUUCGCUUCUUCAAACCACGAAUGAAGACACGAACCAGAGGCUUUUCGUCGACGAGUCACCUCCAGUGCCUUUUAUUAACAGUGCGAUGCAUUGAUUUGCUGCACAUUUCGACAAAAAUGUGACUAUUUAACAGACAUGUGGGCAUGUACAUUCUGAUAAAGGUGAAUCUGUGUCGCAGUGUAUUAAUGACAGUAAACCUGCAUGUGCACA